CUAGUGCUUAGAACAGUGCUUGGCACAUAGUAUUCACUUUAAAAAUACCAUCACUGUUAUUCAUUUGCCUAAAAUUCUUUACGUAUCUCCAGCAGGAACUGUCAUACUGACAGAACGCAUGGUACUUUAGUGGAGAACCACUUCUUUUUCCUUCAGUUCUUCCAGGAUAAUCACUGACUAAAUGUGAACUUGCUAUACUAAAUAAAUGAGAUUGAUAUAAAUAUUUUUUUUUAUCCCCUUGUCCACUUACAGCCACUAAGAUGUGAGAUAACGUACUCGACUUUAAUGUGGCCCCAACCUACUCCACACCCCCGGAGGUCAAAGGCUACCCAGUGGGAGAGGAACCUGGGAAGAUGGCAGAGGUCCCAGGAUCCAG
Molecule: long non-coding RNA, 376 nt
Organism: Ornithorhynchus anatinus (platypus)
Lineage: Eukaryota; Metazoa; Chordata; Mammalia; Monotremata; Ornithorhynchidae
Exons: 2
Source: RefSeq, a predicted model, not a curated record